GACGAACGCUGGCUGCGUGCUUAACACAUGCAAGUCGAACGGCAAGGCCCUGCUUUUGUGGGGUGCUCGAGUGGCGCCCGGGUGCGUAACACGUGAGUAUCCUGCCCUUGACUUUUGGAUAACUUCAGGAAACUGGGGCUAAUACCGGAUAGGAGCUCCUGCUUCAUGGUGGGGGUUGGAAAGUUUCGGCGGUUGGGGAUGGACUCGCGGCUUAUCAGCUUGUUGGUGGGGUAGUGGCUUACCUAGGCUUUGGCGGGUAGCCGGCCUGAGAGGGUGACUGGCAACAUGGGGACUGAGAUACGGCCCAGACUCCUAAGGGAGGCAGCAGUGUGGAAUAGUGCACGAAGGGCGGAAGUCUGAUGCAGGAACGCCGCGUGCUGGAUGAUGGCCUUCGGGUAGUAAACCGCUUUCGCCGGUAUCUAUGCGCGAGUGACGGUAAUGGAUAAAGAAGCACCGGCUAACUACGUG
RNAcentral lists this ribosomal RNA (468 nucleotides) under uncultured bacterium. RNAcentral describes it as "partial 16S ribosomal RNA". It matches the Rfam family "Bacterial small subunit ribosomal RNA", at positions 28 to 507 of the family's 1533-position model. The record is from RNAcentral.